Molecule: transfer-messenger RNA, 360 nt
Filed under: Ammoniphilus oxalaticus
Lineage: Bacteria; Bacillati; Bacillota; Bacilli; Caryophanales; Paenibacillaceae
Description: Standard tmRNA
Rfam family: transfer-messenger RNA
About the family: Bacterial tmRNA, also known as 10Sa RNA or SsrA, is named for its dual tRNA and mRNA-like properties. Its role is to liberate the mRNA from a stalled ribosome. To accomplish this part of the tmRNA is used as a reading frame that ends in a translation stop signal.
Source: Rfam by way of RNAcentral
GGGGGCGUUCUGGAUUCGACGGGGGUAGGUCGGGCAUAAGUAGCGAGUCGGGGGGCUGCGGGCCUCGUUAACAACGCGGAGUUAAAUAUAACUGCAAAACAACCUAAUUUACAAUUAGCUGCCUAGUUGCAGCCUAAUCCUUCUCUAGGGAAUCGCCCAUGUUCGCUUUAGAAGGUCAUCUUAGUGGGAUAGCUCUUCCGAACCGUAUCUGAUCGGGGAGCGAACUUAAAAGAUACUAGCCAAUCCGAUAGCCUGUCGUUGGGCGACGGAGCGGCGAACCUUUAAGUACAACGACUGCGCUCGGAGAAGCUUAUGUUGCGUUACUUUCGGACGUGGGUUCGAUUCCCACCGCCUCCACCA